GAUGAACGCUGGCGGCGUGCCUAAUACAUGCAAGUCGAGCGAACGGACGAGAAGCUUGCUUCUCUGAUGUUGGCGGCGGACGGGUGAGUAACACGUGGAUAACCUACCUAUAAGACUGGGAUAACUUCGGGAAACCGGAGCUAAUACCGGAUGAUAUUUUGAACCGCAUGGUUCAAAAGUGAAAGACGGUCUUGCUGUCACUUAUAGAUGGAUCCGCGCUGCAUUAGCUAGUUGGUAAGGUAACGGCUUACCAAGGCAACGAUGCAUAGCCGACCUGAGAGGGUGAUCGGCCACACUGGAACUGAGACACGGUCCAGACUCCUACGGGAGGCAGCAGUAGGGAAUCUUCCGCAAUGGGCGAAAGCCUGACGGAGCAACGCCGCGUGAGUGAUGAAGGUCUUCGGAUCGUAAAACUCUGUUAUUAGGGAAGAACAUAUGUGUAAGUAACUGUGCACAUCUUGACGGUACCUAAUCAGAAAGCCACGGCUAACUACGUGCCAGCAGCCGCGGUAAUACGUAGGUGGCAAGCGUUAUCCGGAAUUAUUGGGCGUAAAGCGCGCGUAGGCGGUUUUUUAAGUCUGAUGUGAAAGCCCACGGCUCAACCGUGGAGGGUCAUUGGAAACUGGAAAACUUGAGUGCAGAAGAGGAAAGUGGAAUUCCAUGUGUAGCGGUGAAAUGCGCAGAGAUAUGGAGGAACACCAGUGGCGAAGGCGACUUUCUGGUCUGUAACUGACGCUGAUGUGCGAAAGCGUGGGGAUCAAACAGGAUUAGAUACCCUGGUAGUCCACGCCGUAAACGAUGAGUGCUAAGUGUUAGGGGGUUUCCGCCCCUUAGUGCUGCAGCUAACGCAUUAAGCACUCCGCCUGGGGAGUACGACCGCAAGGUUGAAACUCAAAGGAAUUGACGGGGACCCGCACAAGCGGUGGAGCAUGUGGUUUAAUUCGAAGCAACGCGAAGAACCUUACCAAAUCUUGACAUCCUUUGACAACUCUAGAGAUAGAGCCUUCCCCUUCGGGGGACAAAGUGACAGGUGGUGCAUGGUUGUCGUCAGCUCGUGUCGUGAGAUGUUGGGUUAAGUCCCGCAACGAGCGCAACCCUUAAGCUUAGUUGCCAUCAUUAAGUUGGGCACUCUAAGUUGACUGCCGGUGACAAACCGGAGGAAGGUGGGGAUGACGUCAAAUCAUCAUGCCCCUUAUGAUUUGGGCUACACACGUGCUACAAUGGACAAUACAAAGGGCAGCGAAACCGCGAGGUCAAGCAAAUCCCAUAAAGUUGUUCUCAGUUCGGAUUGUAGUCUGCAACUCGACUACAUGAAGCUGGAAUCGCUAGUAAUCGUAGAUCAGCAUGCUACGGUGAAUACGUUCCCGGGUCU
Molecule: ribosomal RNA, 1372 nt
Filed under: uncultured bacterium
Lineage: Bacteria
Description: bacterial SSU rRNA
Rfam family: Bacterial small subunit ribosomal RNA
Source: RNAcentral